UCACACCACGUUCAUUUGGUUCAACUGACUGAACUCCUGCGGGCACCACGGGGGCUGCUGGGUGCGUGGAAACGACCAGUAUGUGUGGAGACGAUGCCUGCUUUCAGGAGACCCACACCUGGCUAUUUCCGGCUGGUUCUCUAGCCCUUUGUUCACAGCCCGCUCAGCAACACCGGCAUGACGGCAGGAGGUCAGCGCGGGCUUACAAGGCUGCCAAGAUUUCGACAGUUACUGACUGAGGACCUACUACAAGUCAGGCAUUAGGAAAAACCCGUGAACGACACGGCUGCCAACUUCAUCUUCAAAAACCUUACAGGACAUCUGGUUUACCUGCAGUACAAGUCUCAUCAGCCGGAUGAGUCCCUCAGUGAGACACAGCAAAUGUACCCCCCACACCGGGCCUGCACACCUCCACCAUCUCACGGCAACCCUACUCGAGAAUCCACCACCUACCCUCUCUGUUAGGGACUUGAAGAGUUUAUUAAGUAGUUUAACCUUUUAAAUCUUUGAUGGCCCCAUCCCAUUCUCUUGUCUCGCCCUUUUUAGAUCACAGAUCCCAGCCACUUUCCUGACUCCAGGGCUGGACAAGCCCUAGUAAUUCCACCAUCCUGAACCUCAUCAUUUCUCCGUGGAAAUGGAACCUAAACCAGUUUAAUGAGUCUUCAUGCUGAGUCCCUGCUGGAGCGGAUGAGGAGACCUCCCUGCUUGGUGACGGAGAGCCUUCAGAUGGGACCCGGAGAUGGAGACGGGACAAAAAGAUGCAGCUUCCAGAGCUGCUGACGUGCAGCCUUCAGUCCUGGGAGGUGCCCCCCAAAGCCUGCCUCCUCACCUCAAAGGCUAAUAAACUGUCACCGAUACUAGAAAAUUUCUAAUAAAUAUAAAUAUAUUUCUCAAAUUGGGAACAUUAUUCUUAGUGGUAUUUGUAGCUGAGCUGGAAGUAGAUAUGAAAUUGGGUGGAGUUACAUUGUAACUGGACAGCAUUUCCCUCUGUUAACCAUAAGCAAAAGUAUAUGUCCUCAGGUGAACAAAGAUAAAAAUGUACUAAUCUAAAACAGAAUUUUUUAGCAUAGCAAUUUUUUAGCAUAAAAAACCUAUGUUGGAACAUCAUCC
Long non-coding RNA from Enhydra lutris kenyoni (northern sea otter), 1110 nucleotides. RefSeq lists it as uncharacterized. Lineage: Eukaryota; Metazoa; Chordata; Mammalia; Carnivora; Mustelidae. The record is from RefSeq and is a predicted model, not a curated record. The transcript has 3 exons.